RNAcentral lists this unclassified non-coding RNA (200 nucleotides) under Sordariales sp. RNAcentral describes it as "partial internal transcribed spacer 2". The record is from RNAcentral. Lineage: Eukaryota; Fungi; Ascomycota; Sordariomycetes; Sordariales.
UUAAGUUCAGCGGGUAUUCCUACCUGAUCCGAGGUCAACCUUGUUAAGUGGUGUGUUUUACGGCAAGCACCCGCGCCACGCCCAGAGCGAGAUAUUGCUACUGCGCUCGGUGUGACAGCGAGCCCGCCACUGGUUUUAGGGGUCUGCGGCAGCCGCAGGGCCCCAACGCAAGCCCGGGGGCUUGAUGGUUGAAAUGACGC